UUCUAUGUGGCUCAGAUGGUAAAGCAUCUGCCUACAAUGCAGAAGACCUAGGUUCGAUCCCUGGGUCAGGAA
This 72-nucleotide transfer RNA is filed under the name Ovis aries (sheep). It matches the Rfam family "tRNA". From Rfam's summary of the family: Transfer RNA (tRNA) molecules are approximately 80 nucleotides in length. Their secondary structure includes four short double-helical elements and three loops (D, anti-codon, and T loops). The record is from Rfam by way of RNAcentral. Lineage: Eukaryota; Metazoa; Chordata; Mammalia; Artiodactyla; Bovidae.